AGGGUUCGAUCCUGGCUCAGAACGAACGCUGGCGGCGUGGAUUAGGCAUGCAAGUCGAACGGUAAGGCUCCCUUCGGGGAGUACACAAGUGGCGAAAGGGUGAGUAAUAUAUAGGUAACCUACCCUCAUGCCGGGGAUAGCGUCUGGAAACGGACGGUAAUACCGCAUGUGGUCGAGAUGGCUCCGGGUAUCCAGUCGGUGCUGACUCGUCUAAAGGAGGCUUCGGCUUCCGCUUGAGGAGGGGCCUAUGUCCUAUUAGCUUGUUGGUGAGGUAAUGGCUUACCAAGGCUGUGAUGGGUAGCGGGCCUGAGAGGGUGGCCCGUCACACCGGAACUGAGACACUGUCCGGACACCUACGGGUGGCUGCAGUCGAGAAUCAUUGGCAAUGGACGAAAGUCUGACCAUGCGACGCCGCGUGAGCGAUGAAGGCCCUCGGGUUGUAAAGCUCAAUCCACAGGGGAAUAAAAGCAGGGGGUUAAUACCCCACCUGUCUGAAGGUACCCUGAGGGAAGCCCUGGCUAACUCCGUGCCAGCAGCCGCGGUAAUACGGAGAGGGCAAGCGUUGUUCGGAAUCACUGGGCAUAAAGGGCACGUAGGCGGUUCGGUAAGUCGGUUUGUGAAAGCCCCCGGCUCAACCGGGGAAGUGCAUCCGAAACUGCCGGGCUUGAGGCCGAAAGAGGAGUGUGGAACUCUGAGUGGAGCGGUGAAAUGCGUAGAUAUUCAGUGGAACGCCGGUGGCGAAAGCGACACUCUGGUUCGGAUCUGACGCUGAGGUGCGAAAGCCAGGGGAGCGAACGGGAUUAGAUACCCCGGUAGUCCUGGCCGUAAACGAUGAGCACUGAGUAGAGGGGCCUUCCACGGUUUCUCUGCUGUAGCUAAUGCGUUAAGUGCUCCGCCUGGGGAGUAUGGCCGCAAGGUUAAAACUCAAAGGAAUUGACGGGGGCUCACACAAGCGGUGGGGUACGUGGUUUAAUUCGAAACAACGCGCAGAACCUUACCCGGGUUUGACAUCGUGAGGAACGCCUCCGAAAGGAGGAAGUGCCCUUUGGGAACCUCGUGACAGGUGUUGCAUGGCUGUCGUCAGCUCGUGUCGUGAGAUGUACGGUUAAGUCCGGUAACGAGCGAAACCCCUAUCCUUAGUUGCCAGCGGGUAAUGCCGGGGACUCUAGGGAGACUGCCGCGUAAGCAGGAGGAAGGUGGGGGUGACGUCAAGUCCUCAUGGCCCUUAUGCCCGGGGCUACACACGUGCUACAAUGGCGGGGACAGAGGGAAGCGAAGCCGCGAGGUGGAGCAAAUCCCACAAACCCCGUCCCAGUCCGGAUUGUAGGCUGCAAUUCGCCUGCAUGAAGUCGGAAUCGCUAGUAAUCGCGGGUCAGCUACACCGCGGUGAAUAUGUUCCUGAGCCUUGUACACACCGCCCGUCAAGCCACGGAAGCCGGUAAUACCCGAAGUUGCUGACCCAACCCUUUGAGGGAGGGAAGUACCUACGGUGGGACCGGUGACUGGGACUAAGUCGUAACAAGGUA
RNAcentral lists this ribosomal RNA (1526 nucleotides) under metagenome. RNAcentral describes it as "bacterial SSU rRNA". It matches the Rfam family "Bacterial small subunit ribosomal RNA". The record is from RNAcentral.